GAUGAAGAACGUAGCGAAAUGCGAUAAGUAAUGUGAAUUGCAGAAUUCAGUGAAUCAUCGAAUCUUUGAACGCACAUUGCGCCCCUUGGUAUUCCGAGGGGCAUGCCUGUUCGAGCGUCAUUAUUACCCCUCAAGCUCAGCUUGGUGUUGGGGCCUGCUGCACUGGCAGCCCUUAAAAUCAGUGGCGGCGCCAUCUGGCUCUAAGCGUAGUAAUUCUUCUCGCUAUGGAGUCCUGGUGGAUGCUUGCCAUCAACCCCCAAUUUUUCUAUGGUUGACCUCGGAUCAGGUAGGGAUACCCGCUGAACUUAAGCAUAUCAAUAAGCGGAGGA
RNAcentral lists this unclassified non-coding RNA (329 nucleotides) under soil metagenome. RNAcentral describes it as "partial contains 5.8S ribosomal RNA, internal transcribed spacer 2, and large subunit ribosomal RNA". The stretch from base 1 to 120 matches the Rfam family "5.8S ribosomal RNA", at positions 35 to 154 of the family's 154-position model. The record is from RNAcentral.